CUCCUUAGAGAAAUCUUAAUCUUAUCUCUUACUUGCAACAGCAACAAGGAAUAAAAACACAAUGAUUCUCCAAUACAAACAAUUUUAGGUUUCUGUCGACCAUAAAUUCAUUAAAGUAAUUUCACAAAUGUAAUUAUCACUAUAUAAGCGUUAAAGCUUUACCUAUAUAAGUUCCAAAUUUACUCCAAGUAAACAUAAAAGUUUACAUAUGUUUGCAACAUACUGGAAG
Pelobates cultripes (western spadefoot toad) is the source of this 229-nucleotide non-coding RNA. NCBI's taxonomy places the organism in Eukaryota, Metazoa, Chordata, Amphibia, Anura, Pelobatidae. The record is from the annotation of a GenBank genome assembly.